This is a long non-coding RNA of Triplophysa rosa, 3586 nucleotides long. RefSeq lists it as uncharacterized. The record is from RefSeq and is a predicted model, not a curated record. NCBI's taxonomy places the organism in Eukaryota, Metazoa, Chordata, Actinopteri, Cypriniformes, Nemacheilidae. The transcript is spliced from 5 exons.
GAUCAAAGAACCCCAGCCCCAUUUCCUCCAGUGUUCUCAUUACCAAAAUUCCCAAUGGACGUUCAGUCAAAACUGGAUAACAAAGAACCCUGUCAUAAGAUCAGCUCUUACCAGUAUAAAAUUAUAAGAGUGCUGCAAGUGUCUAUGGCUCAGCACACACUGUAAGUUUAUAAAAAAAAACUAAUUGAAACGCCUAAAUUCCUGUUGUACAUUUGCACACUCUUUCCUUUUGACAGCUAUCCUUCAAACAGUGACUAUGUUUCUGUAGUCAAGGCUCUAAUCUCCAAAUACUCUUUCCUGAGAGAUGCAGAGGGAAAUGUAUAUAAAAUUCAAAAUGGAACGAUCCCCUGUUGGUUAGAGAGUCGGACUCGUGAACAGAAGGUUGCCGGUUCCAUUCCCAGGUUCGACUGGUUCGGUUCGACUGAGGUGCCCUUGAGCAAGGCACCUUAACCCUACUUGCUCCCUGGGCGCUGCAGUGAUAGCUGCCCACUGCUCUGGUAUGUGUGUUCACGACUUGCUGUGUUGUUGCUGUUCACUACUCUCUGGAUGGGUUAAAAGCAGAGGUUACAUUUCGGAUAUGGGUCACCAUUCUGACUAAUAGUUCACUAUCACUUUCAAAGGAAUAGUUCACUCAGAUAGGUGAAGUUAGGUGAAGACUGUGUCCGUUCUAUUGGUGAGGAUGCUACUUCAAUUAAUGCCCAUGUGAAGACCUUACAGGACCAGUACAAGAAGACGCAAUAUGCUGAUGUUGCAAUAGUGGAUGAAAAAAUUAAACAUUUGCCUGGAGGAGGAGGGAAAUAGUGAAUGGCAUUCCGGUUGCUGAGAUUUUAAAAAAAAUAUCCCUUCCUCAGGACUCCUUCAGUUUGUUGCAAUUCUUCUGGGUACAAUUCACCUUCACAAGGCAACAUAGCAAAGCAUACCAAAAUGUGUUUAUGCAAGUCACAUAUAUGGAUUUCCGAGCUGCUCUGGUUUUACUUCCAGUGAUAUUCAGGGAGAAAGUGGACAUUUAUGUCACAAUUGGAGUCGGACAGGAUGAACCAGCUACACCAUAUCCCAGUGUACAGAUUUUGGGAACGUUUGACUGGAAACAGGUCUUCAGUGAGAAGAGAAUCUUCAGCACUGUGAAAAUGGAGGGAUCUGAAAUUUGCCAAGCAGUUGGGGUCGAGGAUGGAGUUCUUUCUGCUUUUUGUGCAUAUUUUGUCUUCAACCUUGCGUAUUCCUUGCACAACAGAAAUACCCUGCUCUUUCUCCAGAGGCAUGUGUUGAAGGUAAUGACACUUGGUGACAAGCCAUUGCCAACUGCUGUUGUCAGGAUUAUCAAUCUUUUAUCCUAGACUCAGGAUGCCACGGCCCUAUGCUUGUCCAAAGUGUUCACGUUGACAUUUUACUGCAAUAAAACUAAUUAAACAUAUAGUCUUGAUUCAUGCUCAUGAGCCUAAUUUUUCUAUCUGCUGCGGACUUGAUGAGUGUCAGCGUUUCUUUUGCAAAUACGAGUCUUUCAGGCAUCAUGUACAGUAUAUAGAAAACACAGAACUCACAUUUGGCCAAAUGAAAGGAAUGUCACUGGAGAGGUUGAAGUUGACAUUAGUGACAGUGAAGUCAACAUUAGUGACAGUGAAGUCAACAUUGACAAUACUGACAAUGAAGUCAACAAUGACAUAGCAGAGGAUGCAUCUGAAGAUGUUGUACCAAACAUGAAUGAUCUUCUGACUAAUUUCCGAGCAAAUCUUAUUUCGUUUGUGUUGAAAUGCAGAGAAAAAAACAUCCUACCACAGUCUGUUCAGCAGGAAAUCUUAGACAAUGUCAAGUUUCCAUUUAGUUUCUUCAAAGAAAACUAUGAUUCCUUGCUUAUUUGCCAUAUAAAGCUAAAUGGAUUUAAUAUCGAAGACAUUCCUGAACUUGUCGGGCAUUUACAAUCAUUUGACUUUUUUUGCUGAGGCAUGUAAAGUGAUAGAUACUGAACACUUGUUUAAAGCAUACUGUGCUUUAUACAUUUGGACAUGAUAGAACCUGUGCAACAUACUUUAAGAGAUAUUAACGGUCAGAAGAUUGGACAUUUUGCUUAUGUUCCCAUCACUGAUGUGCUAAAAAAGUACUGCGGCCAUGAGGAUAUAUGGCAUUCUAUACAGGCACAAAAUAUUCAGCCAAGGGAUGAGCAUGUGCUGAGAGACUACAGUGAUGCAAUGUACUUUAAGGAACAUCCAUUCUUUGCCAAACAUCCAGAUGCAUUAAGGCUGCACUUCUAUGAGGAUGAAUUCGAAGUGGUUAAUCCUCUUGGUUCUAAAAGAAAGAAACACAAAGUCUGUGCCAUCUACUACACUGUUGGCAAUGUUAGAUGUAAAAUAUAGGUCUCAGCUAAAGCAUUUUCACCUUGACUUACUCGUUAAGCAUUCUUUGUUUAAGCAGCAUAUGGACAUUAUUCUAAAACCAUUGUUGGAUGAUUUAAAAUUACUGUCAACUGAUGGAUUUGAUUUGAAGUUCAGUGAUAAGACCUUCAAAGUGUGUGCUGCUCUGGCAUCUAUCUCUGGGGACAAUUUGUCGGCGCACAUGAUAGGGGGCUUCACCAUGUCCUUUAAAUCUGGACGGAUAUGCAGAUACUGUAUGGCAACUCACUCAAGUAAGAAUGAGUUUUUCAGUGAAGAUAAGUUUAUUCUCAGAACUUCAGCGGUCCAUAAGUAUCACUUGGAUUUCAUCAAAGAAAACCCCAACAACACUGCUGUACAGUAUAUGGUGUUGAGAGAAUCUGUCCAUUUGAUGAACUAAGUUACUUUGAUGUGACGAAAGGAUUGCCUCCUGACUUGAUGCACGACUUGUUAGAAGGUGUAACACCAUUAGUAGUCAAACUAGUUUUGUGUAAGGCACACCGAGAAAAGCAUAUAACUAUACAGGAAGUAAAUGCGGAACUGAGUCAAUUUUCCAUAGGUGAAAAUGAUAGAGCAAACAAACCAUCCUAGCUGUCUGAGAAAAUUUUACAUAAUUCAAAUAUCUCAGGGUCAGCCUCACAGAAAUGGUGCCUAUUUAGGAUUUCACCUUUUUUGAUUGCACAACGCAUUCCGCCCUGUUCCAAAUAUUGGAAUGUCUACCUUCUAUGUCGAGAAAUUACAGAUAUUGUUAUGGCACCUACAGUAAAAAGAGAAAGCCUUCCAAUUCUUGACAUGAAAGUGAAAGAGUUCUUGCAAAAGUUAAAAGAAGUGUCAUUAUCUAAUACAUUAUGCAAGACUUAUUUCAUCUUACGGUACGCUGCGCCCUCUGUGGUGCAUGCAUUUUGAAAGCAAGCAUUUGUAUUUUAAGAAUGUUUCAAGCACCUGUAAAAACUUCAUGAACAUUUCGGCUUCUUUAAGCAAAAGACACCAAUUCAAACAGUGUUGGGAGUUUUCAUUCAGAAGCAUGCUGGGUGAUUAUGAAAAAGCUACCUUGUUCCUUUGUUUUUCCUCCACGUGGGAAGUAUUUAUUUUCUGCUUUGUUAUUUAGUCCUGUCCUUGUUUUACCCCCCAUCGUGGGUCUUUGUUUUGUGAUUAUUGUUUAAAUAAAUCUCGUUUUUUGAUUAACCCCUUAACUGCUGCCUGCACUUGGGUUCUUCCCCACA